RNAcentral lists this small RNA (88 nucleotides) under Brochothrix thermosphacta. Its description in RNAcentral is "RatA". It matches the Rfam family "RNA anti-toxin A". Lineage: Bacteria; Bacillati; Bacillota; Bacilli; Caryophanales; Listeriaceae. The record is from RNAcentral.
AAAAGCACAUAAAAAAAGACACUAGCUUCAACUAGUGUCCGUGUAGAACCGUUUAAGACGGUAGCUAUACAAUUAAUAGAAUUUAAAU